GUUUUACUCGGCGUUAAGUCAAGCGUAUCCGAAUACGAAUCGGUAAAUUCUUCAAAACACUUUGAGAGAAAUGUCUUCAAACAGUGAACAGUACGAAAGAUAAAAGUAAAUGAGUGAGUUCGAAAUUAUGGUCAUAUUAGAAGAGAAAUAUAUGUACAUUUAUUAAUUUCAUUUGACCAAGUAAAAUUCAACGAGCAAUAUUGAGAAUGAAAUGAAGUAGUGUAGUAGCAGUGUGUGGUGUACAAUGUAAAACUGACACUUCAAGAUCUAUAACCACCAUUUAUAUCCAAUGCCUGAUAACCCUCUUUUAUGGAUUUUUGGAAAAAAUUCAACGUGUAAAAAGGAGCAGCGUGCUGGCGAGCGAGGGGG
RNAcentral lists this unclassified non-coding RNA (369 nucleotides) under Bombus terrestris (buff-tailed bumblebee). Its description in RNAcentral is "misc RNA ENSBTSG00005036890.1". Lineage: Eukaryota; Metazoa; Arthropoda; Insecta; Hymenoptera; Apidae. The record is from RNAcentral.